This 253-nucleotide ribosomal RNA is filed under the name uncultured bacterium. Its description in RNAcentral is "partial 16S ribosomal RNA". It matches the Rfam family "Bacterial small subunit ribosomal RNA", at positions 524 to 776 of the family's 1533-position model. The record is from RNAcentral.
UACGUAGGGUGCAAGCGUUGUCCGGAAUUAUUGGGCGUAAAGAGCUCGUAGGCGGUCUGUCACGUCUGCUGUGAAAACUCAGGGCUUAACCCUGAGCUUGCAGUGGGUACGGGCAGACUAGAGUGCGGUAGGGGAGACUGGAAUUCCUGGUGUAGCGGUGAAAUGCGCAGAUAUCAGGAGGAACACCGGUGGCGAAGGCGGGUCUCUGGGCCGUAACUGACGCUGAGGAGCGAAAGCAUGGGGAGCGAACAGG